RNAcentral lists this long non-coding RNA (255 nucleotides) under Bos taurus (domestic cattle). RNAcentral's name for it is "long non-coding RNA NONBTAT016389". The record is from RNAcentral. Lineage: Eukaryota; Metazoa; Chordata; Mammalia; Artiodactyla; Bovidae.
CGAAAUGGGAGUGAAAUUCAGGAUUUUAAGUGAUCCAUCUCUGAUUUUGUUUAUCAAAUAUUUUACCAGGGGAUGAAUGGGUUGUCAAGCUGGUCCCUAGACAGUGUAAUUGAGGCAAAUGGCAUAAAUAUGCUGCAUCAAUAUGGUUGCAUGAAUCAAGCCUGGUUAAAAGUGUUCUUUGACAUUAAAAUGAGCCAGCAACAUGGCUGCAGAGAAUUGUAACAGCCAGCAGGCUUUCUGCCUGUCCAUCCUCUC